Molecule: ribosomal RNA, 460 nt
Filed under: uncultured bacterium
Lineage: Bacteria
Description: partial 16S ribosomal RNA
Rfam family: Bacterial small subunit ribosomal RNA
Source: RNAcentral
CCUACGGGAGGCAGCAGUGAGGAAUAUUGGUCAAUGGACGAGAGUCUGAACCAGCCAAGUCGCGUGAAGGAUGACUGCCCUAUGGGUUUUAAACUUCUUUUAUAAAGGAAUAAAGCGAGGCACGUGUGCCUUUUUGCAUGUACUUUAUGAAUAAGGAUCGGCUAACUCCGUGCCAGCAGCCGCGGUAAUACGGAGGAUCCGAGCGUUAUCCGGAUUUAUUGGGUUUAAAGGGAGCGUAGAUGGGUUGUUAAGUCAGUUGUGAAAGUUUGAGGCUCAACCGUAAAAUUGCAAUUGAUACUGGCAGUCUUGAGUACAGUUGAGGUAGGCGGAAUGCGUGGUGUAGCGGUGAAAUGCUUAGAUAUCACGAAGAACCCCGAUUGCGAAGGCAGCUUACUAAACUGUGACUGACAUUGAUGCUCGAAAGUGUGGGUAUCAAACAGGAUUAGAUACCCGGGUAGUC